GCAGUUGUUUUUCUUGACUGCAUUCCAGGUGGACACUUCCGGCCUCGAUGUUGACCGGGAGACACACACAGGCUCUUUGCUUCCACUCAUUCUUCUUCGGGCACCAGGCUUCUCUGUGCUUCAGCAGCACGGAAGUCUCUCCCCCAAACACAUCCUGUCAAACACAAAGACCAAAAACAUCCCAGACUGGGAGCCAGACGGACUUGGAGUUUCUUAGACUCGUUUUGCACUGCCCAAGCUAAUCAGAUUUUACACAUUCUGACACCAUGUGUCCUGCUCAGUAUUCUGUCCCUAGGAUACAAAUGCCCUCAUUGUACUCCAUGGCUCUGAGUGCAGAGGCCAAGCCAUGAUCAUACCCAGCUCUUCCGAGUGCCCCCCUGAGUGUACCCAGAGCUAGUCCAACCGCUGAGAUAACAACCAUCUUGACAAGGAUGCACCUUCAUCUAUGCAUCUGCUUCAGCUCCUAUGCCAAAGCUUCAUAUUCAUUUAACUUCUGUGUAUAAGGCUGGCAAACUCAGCCUCGCCUCUGUCUUUGUCAUGAGCCAUGGGCCAGCAGAUGGAGGCACCACCUUGAGAAGGUUUCGUUUCUUGGCUUCUAGAAGCAUGUGUGUUGGUGGCAAUCUGCAGUUGGCAUCGCACACCACAAGUCCGAGAGACAGGUGGCUCACUCUUGGAAUGAGGCUAGAGCCCGCAUGGAGCUGUCCAUCCCAGCCAUGGAUACAAGCACAGUCUAUUUCAGGUAACCAUGCACCUGACCCACCUCCAGUUCCAUCUCUAGCACCAGUGAAUCAGAGCAGAAGAGCAAUGUAGUAAAAUGAAGUCCUUCAAUCAACUGAAUCCAAAUGUGCCUGCUCUGUGGCCUGCUGUAAUUACUCACCAUGAAUACCUAGGAAAAAGCCAAUCAUCUACUGUGGAUCAGCACUUUCUAGAAACUGAGAUGGUGUAUGAAAUCUGAGUUCACAGUCAGCCAGAUAAGUACCGAAUUACUUCCAUAUUGCUUAGUGUAGCUAUUGUCACACCACCCUGAUCACUGGGAACUCUCUGGACCUUUUAAUCCUGCAAUUAAAAGGGGCAAUGCCAGACCAACUGCAGUGGCAGUGGGAAUUGAGCUCUGAUUGGUUGCUCUGGCCAACUCCCUUCUGAUUCGUCAACAGUUGAGCAGGGCUAGUUGUCGUAAAUCUUAAACAUCAACCCUGAGCAAGUCAGCCCUGGUCUUGGAGACUUCCAUAAAAAAAAAAAGAAAAAAGAAAAAAAAAAAAAAAACAAUGAAAACGGAGAGGAGUCAUGCAAGUGACAGCUGUGCCUCGAGUCCUUGCCUGCAUUUUCUUCUCUCCAAAGGCCACCCAGAGGUGUGAAGGUUUCUUUGCAACAAGACAAUGAUUUCAUAAAUGUUGCUCUUUGCCAAAUCCCCUGAGGCCUUGCAUGUUGGGUGCUAAUAAAGUGCAAAUUAUUAUUAGGCAUGUGGUCUAUGUAGGUCACUGCCAAAUACUGGCGUGAAGAAAAGGAAAGGAAAGAAAAGCAAAUGUGCUCACCCUGGAGAGAGCGUGGAAGAGGGCUGGCAGCUCCUCCUGCGGAUGAGGAGCCUGCCUGGGAUCUCUGUUCUUAGUCUCCCAGAGGGACUUAGUUUUCCCACUUGCAAAAUGAAGACCCCAGAAAUGACCUUCAUUCGUCAUUCAGGAUUUUGGAAAACAGGAGGCUUUUCCAGAAGAAAGGACUGGGGGGGGGGGGGUGCUACUAAAGAACGGAUUGGGAGGCCGGCGCCCCGGCUCACUAGGCUAAUCCUCCGCCUUGCGGCGCCGGCACACCGCGUUCUAGUCCCGGUCGGGGCACCGGAUUCUGUCCCGGUUGCCCCUCUUCCAGGCCAGCUCUCUGCUGUGGCCAGGGAGUGCAGUGGAGGAUGGCCCAAGUUCUUGGGCCCUGCACCUGGCUCCUGGCUUCGAAUCAGUACGAUGCGCCGGCCGCGGCGGCCAUUGGAGGGUGAACCAACGGCAAAAAGGAAGACCUUUCUCUCUGUCUCUGUCUCUCUCACUGUCCAGUCUGCCUGUCAAAAAAAAAAAAAAAAAAAAAAAA
Oryctolagus cuniculus (rabbit) is the source of this 2070-nucleotide non-coding RNA. The record is from RefSeq and is a predicted model, not a curated record. Lineage: Eukaryota; Metazoa; Chordata; Mammalia; Lagomorpha; Leporidae.